AUAGUAUUGUUAAUGCCGAAGACCGUAGGUGCGUAUGCUUAAUUUCCUACCGAGGUAGCCAACAACGAAUAUUGUUGCCCUUGUGUGUCUUCGAAGAAAACCGCAAGGGUUUUUUAUUGAA
Molecule: small RNA, 121 nt
Filed under: Filifactor alocis
Lineage: Bacteria; Bacillati; Bacillota; Clostridia; Peptostreptococcales; Filifactoraceae
Description: Ribosomal protein L10 leader
Rfam family: Ribosomal protein L10 leader
About the family: This family is a putative r-protein leader autoregulatory structure found in B. subtilis and other low-GC Gram-positive bacteria. It is located in the 5' untranslated regions of mRNAs encoding ribosomal proteins L10 and L12 (rplJ-rplL). A Rho-independent transcription terminator structure that is probably involved in regulation is included at the 3' end.
Source: RNAcentral